Molecule: long non-coding RNA, 936 nt
Organism: Oryzias melastigma (Indian medaka)
Lineage: Eukaryota; Metazoa; Chordata; Actinopteri; Beloniformes; Adrianichthyidae
Exons: 3
Source: RefSeq, a predicted model, not a curated record
CGCAGCACAUGUCUGAUCAUCCUCCGUUAAGGGUGCAUGUGACUAAGACUUUUAAAAAAAAUAUGAUGCUACAGCUUUACUAAAGAAUAUAAGUCUAAGAUUUGUUCUUCAUUGGUGUAAUGGCUUCACAUAAUUUAAGUUUGAAAAAUUAGGCAUCGUGAAAGUUCAGGUUUUCUGCAGGAAUAGUUGAGGCCUAGAUUAUCGACUUGGCUUGAUGUUACAGAGGGAACACCCGACUUGGGCGUGACCUCCUACUGGACCGACGCCGAAGGGAACGUUGUGUUUGGCCCAAACACUCCAAAGGACAAGUUGAAAACUUCUGUCGUUGGAGCAAAAACUCAGAAGCGGAAGGAUUCCGUUUCUAAGAAAGUUUCUGUGGAGAACCAAGUGUUGGAUCCUCCAAAGAUGGAGUCAAAAAUGCCAGAAGAUAACAAAGUUCUGAGUGACCCAUCGGUGAUCGCAGACACGUCUGAGAAGCCGACAGAUCCUGCAGAGUCUGAACAAGAACCCGAGACACAAACUGCAAUCACUGAAUGAGCACAGUAAUGAUAUACAGUAUUUGAUUUGCACUUAUUAUAAAUAGAUACACUAAUAUAUUUGCAUGCCUCCUUUACAAUAAGACCACUCUUUUGUACACUACUGAACUUUUAAUGAUGUGCAGUAAUUGGAAAAUAACAGUUGUUGGGUUCAGUUUUUUUUUUCAUUUCAAUAAAGUGCAUUUGAAUGAGGAAAACGUGAGGUUACUGUGCCAGAAUGAUUACAAUUCACGGUCAUAGAAAAUACUAAGACAAUGUUUGUCUUCUACUGUGACCGUUUUGGUCCAGUUGUUCCACUUCGAGUAUGGAGCCUAUUCAGAGAGAGAAAACAGGAGCUCGGUUCUAAUGGAAACUAACUGAGACCACCUCAAAAGACGGGUCCGAGAGCAGUUCUUGGUCC